This 484-nucleotide ribosomal RNA is filed under the name uncultured bacterium. RNAcentral's name for it is "partial 16S ribosomal RNA". It matches the Rfam family "Bacterial small subunit ribosomal RNA", at positions 28 to 507 of the family's 1533-position model. The record is from RNAcentral.
AUUGAACGCUGGCGGCAUGCUUUACACAUGCAAGUCGAACGGCAGCGCGGGCUUCGUCCUGGCGGCGAGUGGCGCACGGGUGAGUAAUGCAUCGGAACGUGCCCAGUAGUGGGGGAGAGUCCGGCGAAAGACGGAGUAAUACCGCAUACGACCUGCGGGUGCAAGCGGGGGACCGAAAGGCCUCGCGCGAUGGGAGCGGCCGACGUCGGGUUGGCUAGCUGGUGGGGUAAAGGCUUACCAAGGCGACGAUCCGUAGCUGGUCUGAGAGGACGACAAGCCGCACUGGGACUGAGACACGGCCCAGACUCCUGCGGGAGGCAGCAGUGGGUAAUUUUGGACAAUGGGGGCAACCCUGAUCCAGCGAUGCCGCGUGCGGGAAGAAGGCCUUCGGGUUGUAAACCGCUUUUGUUCGGGAAGAAAUCCUCUGGGCUAAUACCCCGGGGGGAUGACGGUACCGGAAGAAUAAGCACCGGCUAACUACGUG